This 497-nucleotide ribosomal RNA is filed under the name uncultured bacterium. RNAcentral describes it as "partial 16S ribosomal RNA". It matches the Rfam family "Bacterial small subunit ribosomal RNA", at positions 28 to 507 of the family's 1533-position model. The record is from RNAcentral.
GAUGAACGCUGGCGGCGUGCCUAAUACAUGCAAGUCGAGCGAACAGACGAGGAGCUUGCUCCUCUGACGUUAGCGGCGGACGGGUGAGUAACACGUGGAUAACCUACCUAUAAGACUGGGAUAACUUCGGGAAACCGGAGCUAAUACCGGAUAAUAUAUUGAACCGCAUGGUUCAAUAGUGAAAGACGGUUUUGCUGUCACUUAUAGAUGGAUCCGCGCCGCAUUAGCUAGUUGGUAAGGUAACGGCUUACCAAGGCAACGAUGCGUAGCCGACCUGAGAGGGUGAGCGGCCACACUGGACCUGAGACACGGACCAGACUCCUACGGGAGGCAGCAGUAGGGAAUCUUCCGCAAUGGGCGAAAGCCUGACGGAGCAACGCCGCGUGAGUGAUGAAGGUCUUCGGAUCGUAAAACUCUGUUAUUAGGGAAGAACAAAUGUGUAAGUAACUAUGCACGUCUUGACGGUACCUAAUCAGAAAGCCACGGCUAACUACGUG